This is a long non-coding RNA of Hevea brasiliensis (rubber tree), 4488 nucleotides long. RefSeq lists it as uncharacterized. The transcript has 2 exons. Lineage: Eukaryota; Viridiplantae; Streptophyta; Magnoliopsida; Malpighiales; Euphorbiaceae. The record is from RefSeq and is a predicted model, not a curated record.
UCUGUGGGGGAAGUAAACAAACAAGUUUGUGAGGGUCUGGUCCCUUCGGAUAAAAUCGUGGAGUGGUCCAUGAAGAAAAAAUCAUAAAAUGGAAUAGGACGUGCUUGUUUGUAGGCCUUCCCACUUGGAGAGUUAAUGGACCCUACUAGGAUAAUGUUCAAACACGUGUAUUAAUAAUAUAUCCCCAGUUCAUAAAUAUUUUAUUAGGUAAAUUACUUUUUAAUUUUAAAUAAUGUCAUAAUUAAUACUUUAUUCCUCACUUUUUAAAAAUCAAUGAUUUGGCCUCUUUUAAUUUUGAUUUCGUAAAAAUGAAAAAUCUUUCUAUCAAUAAUCAUCUUUAAUUAUGCUAAAUUUUCACUACUCCCAAUCUUUUCUUGGUAACCAAAAAGAAAGUUUAAUACACUCCAAAUCACAAUCUUAGCUAACUUUGCGACAACCCACUUACUCAAAUCAAAAUCCUCAUCUCAUCCAUUAGACCCAUCUCCUUAUCUCUGUUAUUUCACCGCGUUAUAAACCCCCAGACCUACGCAAGCCAUUCGAUCCUUUUGUUUAAUGGCCACAUCCAAUAACAGCAGUGACAGCAAGUCCUCGACCGAUAGCAGGGGGGAUUUAGGUUUAGAUGCAGAUUCAUACGACAGGUGAGACCUGUAGUACCCAGUCAUUGCCCCCACCUGAUUGCGAUUCAGAUGGUGACUGCAAGUUCCUGACCACAACCCUACCCUUUCAUGCACAUCACUUUUGGCAACCUCACUCUUAAAAACCAUGUUGCUUCAAAGCCCGCUCUCUCUGUUGUUCACCCUUUAUCGUUGUUGUGCUUUUGUAAAAUUAAGCUUAAGAAUUUCUCACUCCAAACGGCCCUCAUCCUCUUCAUUCCCCAUAAGAACAAUCACUUCCCUAAGGCACAAACUCAAACCCUUGUGGUUACUGAUAGAGUUAAUCAUAUAUCUGUUAUUAUAAAUCUGUUAUAUUUAUCUAAUUUACCAGCUCAUGUAUAUCCUGUAUAAGAUAACAUUAUAUCUGUAACAAUAUCCAGCUCAUGUAUAUCUUAUGUAAGCUAAUAUUAUCUCUAUAACAACCUACUGUAUUUAAGCAAUCCUUUUAGUAAUGUAAAUACCAGUUCUGCAACAUUGUGCUUCUUCAUGCUAUCAGAGCCUUCUUUGCCUUCCAGCUCUUCUUGGAAAAAAAAAAUGGUCACAUCUAAUGCCUUAAUCUCUUCUUUAUCCACUUCAACCAUUUCUUCUCCACCAAAUAUUGCUCAAUAUCUCCCUAUCAAACAUACUUCCACCAACUACUUACUCUGGAAAAAUCAAAUCCUUCCCAUUCUAUAUGGCUAUAGUCUUACUUCCCACAUUGAUGCUAAUGCUACCCCACCAGUCCAACGCACUGCUAACAAUCUCCCAAUCCAAAUUAUGACUUGUGGUUCAGGCAGGACCAGCUCGUUCUCAGCUAGUUGUACUGCUCCAUCUCUGAGACACUACUGCCGCAAAUAAUUGGUAUACCUACUGCUCGAGAAGUAUGGCAUAAGUUGGCAGCCAUAUUCUUUGCUGGGUCAAGAACACAAGUUUUACAACUGAGAAAACAACUAAAAUACCUUAAGAAAGGUAGUGAGUCCAUUGAUGAUUGUAUGAAAGAGCUAAAAGCAUUUCUGAUAAGCUUUCUAUGCUCCAAAGUCGUGUCACUGAAGAUGCUCUUGUGAAUGAUAUUUUAGAGGGCCUUGACUCAUCUUAUCAUCCUUUUACCCUAGCAAUUAAGGCUUGCUAUGUCCCAAUUACCUAUGAUGACCUUUAUGCUUUACUGCUUAGCGAGGAGGCUCAAUUGAAAAUGGAUUCUUUAUCCAUUGACAGUGUUCCACCGAUAGCCCACUAUGCUCAUAAAACUAGAGGAGGAAAAUCAGGCCGAGGACGUGGACGCAACAGUUCAACCAAUCAAUUCUCUCAAUCUCGCCAUCCAUCUGCCAUCACCUAUCACAAUUGCAAUGGAACUGGCCAUAUUGCGCACCAAUGCCCUUCGCCACGCACCGCCUCCUACUCCACCAACAAUCUGAACCAACACCAGCCUUCCAUAAAUUUUGCCGCCACUCGGUCCUCCCCACAGCAGACUUGGACAUUGGAUUCUAGUGCAAACUAUCAUCUUACCUCUAAUGUCAGAAAUCUUACUCAUUCUGCUCCGUACCAUGGCAAUGAUGAAAUUGUUAUCGGAAAUUGUAAUACCAUCCCUAUAACUCACACUGGUUCCUCUCUCAUUCGCUCUUCUCAUCAUUCUUUUUCUCUUCAAAAUGCUUUAUGUUCCCCUGUUAUUCAUCGCAAUUUAAUUUCUGUGAAUGCCUUUGCUAAACAAAAUAAUGUUUCUAUUGCAUUUUAUCCUAAUUAUUUUCUUGUGAAGGAUAUCCUCAUGAACAAGAUUCUGUUCCGAGGCUAGAGUAAAGAUGGUUUGUACCACAUACCUCUGCAAGUUCUUCCACUAGUGUCUCCAGAAGUCAAUACUGUCAAAUUCAACACAUGGCAUGCUAGGCUCGGACAUGCUAAUUCUUGUUUUGUUAGCAAAGUUCUUCAUUCAAUUAAAUUGUCUUAUGUGUCUUCGUUUAAGUUCCCUUGUCAUGCUUGUCAUUUAGGGAAAAUGCACAAUUGCCUUUUCCUGAGUCUAGUGUAAAGGUUAAUAAUCCAUUGGAACUCAUUUGUUCAGAUGUUUGGGGGCGAGUAUCAAGCUUUAACUUCCUAUCUGAGAGAUAAUGGUAUUACCCAACGAAUAUCAUGCCCGCAUACCCUUGAGCAAAAUGGUUGUGCUGAAUGUAAACACUGCCAUAUCAUUGAGACAGGUCAUGCCUUGUUGUUUCAUGCCAAUGUCCCUACCAAAUACUGGAAUUUUGCCUUUGAUAGUGCAGUUUAUGCAAUUAAUAUAUUACCUUCAACACACAAUACUAUCACUACUCCAUAUGAACUUUUAUUUGGCAAUACACUUAACUACAAUGACUUACAUGUGUUUGGUUGUUUGUGCUACCCUUGGCUUAGUCCCUAUGCUAAAAAUAAGUUACCUCCUCGCUCUAGUCGAUGUGUUUUUUUGGGAUAUAGUAAGCUUUAUAAAGGGUACUUCUGUUUGGAUGUUCUUAGUGGUAAAUUAUUUGUCUCACGCCAUGUUUACUUUUCUGAACAGGAUUUCCCGUUCUCAUGGCAAGAUGAUAGUUUGGUCAUUCGUAAUUCUGUCCAUGUGUCCAGUCCAGCUCCAUCAGCACCGCAAGUCCCAAUUGCCCUUCAUGCUUCUCCUAUCCCACAUCAAGAUGGAGUUUUGGGACCCACUCCCUAUGCUUCACACCAAAAUGGAGUUUUGGGCCCACCUCCACGUGCCUCACCAAAACCAUGCCACCUUCUACCUCAUCCAUGCACUAACAACCAUCUUUCGUCACCCAUAUCUCAUCCACCAAUAACCUUAUCUCCACCAACAGAAACACACACCAAUGCAUUGAUCCCUUGCCAUUAACCAACAAACCAGAAUCCUAGUCCCAACGAGAUCUCUCUAGUUGGUGAUUUAUCCUCUCCUUCUUCCCAAAUGGAUCACCCUUCAUCAUCGUUGCCUCAACCAUAAAUAAAACCAUGCCUAGCUGUCUGUACCCAUCCCAUGACAACAAGAUCACAAACUGGUUCUCUGAAACCCAAAACUUAUUUUGUUGUGCCCUCCCAUCCACUUAUUCCCACCUCCUACCUUGAGGCAUCCAGAAAAAAAAUUGGCGAGAAGCCAUGACAGAAGAAUUAAAUGCCCUCCUUCAAAAUGGCACUUGGGAGCUUGUUCCUCGCUCCCUUGCUCAUAAUAUUAUCGAUUGCAAGUGGGUCUUCCACAUCAAGGAGAAGCCAGAUGGAAGCAUUGAUCGCUAUAAGGCACAUUUAAUUGCCAAGGGAUUCCACCAACAUCCAGGUGUUGAUUUUCUCGAUACUUUCUCUCCUAUUGUUAAACCAACUACAAUAAGAAUUCUCCUUUCUCUUGCUGUAUCUUAUGAUUAGCUGAUUCCCCAACUAGACAUCUCCAAUGCAUUCCUCAAUGGUGACUUGGAUGAUACCAUCUUCAUGGAGCAACCUCCAGGUUUUAUGGAUCCGAAUAAGCCACACCAUAUUUGUAGACUCAAAAGAUCACUUUAUGGACUUCGUUAGGCUCCCCAUCAAUGGCACAAAAAAUUAGUGCAAGUAUUAGUUGAUCUUGGUUUUCAACCUUCUGCUGCAGAUUGUUCUCUUCUUCAUUAUCAACAAAAUGGUUCUGGAGAUACUGAUCGAGAGCCCAGUAGACCACAGACUGGGUGAGUCCAUCCUGCAGCUCUGCAUAGUGUCCGUGUCACCUCACCAUCUUCAGUGCAUUGGUAGGACACUAGGUUUCAUUUUGAUAUUUUGUAACUAAUUUUUAUUUUCUCAUAUGUAAUUGAACUUAUGAAAUGUAUUUUGAUGUUCAUGUAAAUAAUGAGAAUUGUGUUUGUGAAUGGAAAAGUGAAUGUUUAUCUGUGGUUUA